Molecule: ribosomal RNA, 764 nt
Filed under: uncultured bacterium
Lineage: Bacteria
Description: bacterial SSU rRNA
Rfam family: Bacterial small subunit ribosomal RNA
Source: RNAcentral
UGACGUUAGGAAAGCGAGCGGCGGAUGGGUGAGUAACACGUGGGGAACCUGCCCCAUAGUCUAGGAUACCACUUGGAAACAGGUGCUAAUACCGGAUAAGAAAGCAGAUCGCAUGAUCAGCUUUUAAAAGGCGGCGUAAGCUGUCGCUAUGGGAUGGCCCCGCGGUGCAUUAGCUAGUUGGUAAGGUAAAGGCUUACCAAGGCGAUGAUGCAUAGCCGAGUUGAGAGACUGAUCGGCCACAUUGGGACUGAGACACGGCCCAAACUCCUACGGGAGGCAGCAGUAGGGAAUCUUCCACAAUGGACGCAAGUCUGAUGGAGCAACGCCGCGUGAGUGAAGAAGGUUUUCGGAUCGUAAAGCUCUGUUGUUGGUGAAGAAGGAUAGAGGUAGUAACUGGCCUUUAUUUGACGGUAAUCAACCAGAAAGUCACGGCUAACUACGUGCCAGCAGCCGCGGUAAUACGUAGGUGGCAAGCGUUGUCCGGAUUUAUUGGGCGUAAAGCGAGCGCAGGCGGAAGAAUAAGUCUGAUGUGAAAGCCCUCGGCUUAACCGAGGAACUGCAUCGGAAACUGUUUUUCUUGAGUGCAGAAGAGGAGAGUGGAACUCCAUGUGUAGCGGUGGAAUGCGUAGAUAUAUGGAAGAACACCAGUGGCGAAGGCGGCUCUCUGGUCUGCAACUGACGCUGAGGCUCGAAAGCAUGGGUAGCGAACAGGAUUAGAUACCCUGGUAGUCCAUGCCGUAAACGAUGAGUGCUAAGUGUUGGGA